RNAcentral lists this unclassified non-coding RNA (400 nucleotides) under uncultured fungus. Its description in RNAcentral is "sequence contains ITS1". The record is from RNAcentral. Lineage: Eukaryota; Fungi.
GCCCGUCAAUUCCUUUGAGUUUUAAUCUUGCGACCGUACUCCCCAGGCGGUCUACUUCGCGCGUUAGCUGCGUUACUAAGGGAUUUAACUCCCCCAACAACUAGUAGACAUCGUUUAGGGCGUGGACUACCAGGGUAUCUAAUCCUGUUUGCUCCCACGCUUUCGUGCAUGAGCGUCAGUGUCGACCCAGAAGGCUGCCUUCGCCAUCGGUGUUCCUCCACAUCUCUACGCAUUUCACCGCUACACGUGGAAUUCCACCUUCCUCUGCCGCACUCCAGCAUCGUAGUUUCAAGCGCAAUUCCCAGUUGAGCCAGGAGAUUUCACAUCCAACUUACCGAACCGCCUACACGCGCUUUACGCCCAGUGAAUUCGGAUAACGCUCGGAUCCUACGUUUUACCG